UACGAAGGUCCCAAGCGUUAUCCGGAUUUAUUGGGCUUAAAGGGUGCGUAGGCGGACUAUUAAGUCAGUGGUGAAAGCCCCAGGCCUAACCUGGGAACUGCCAUUGAUACUGAUGGUCUUGAGUACAUUUGAGGUGGGCGGAAUGUGUCAUGUAGCGGUGAAAUGCUUAGAUAUGACACAGAACACCGAUUGCGAAGGCAGCUCACUAGACUGUAACUGACGCUGAGGCACGAAAGCGUGGGGAGCAAACAGG
Molecule: ribosomal RNA, 253 nt
Filed under: uncultured bacterium
Lineage: Bacteria
Description: partial 16S ribosomal RNA
Rfam family: Bacterial small subunit ribosomal RNA
Source: RNAcentral